UUCAAAUCUCCCACACUUCUUUCUUCCAAAUUCUAAAUUCUGAUUCCGAAUUCCCAAUGAACUUAUCUCGCUUUCUCUCUCUCUCUCUCUCUCUCAAAUGGUCAAACCUAAUUCCACCUCCUCCAUUUUCCUCCGAAUACGGCCAACGAAUAUGCGGCAACCACCUUCAUCUUUGAGAUACAAAGGAAUUCCAGAAGAAUAGACAGAUUGAUUGCUAAUUGGUUUCGACGCCUGAAGCUAGGGUUUUAACACGAGGAAGAUAGACCUCCUCCAUUUUUAUUCUCAGCAGUUGAAAUCGAUUCCCAAUUGCAGUGCUUCUCCAUGUAAUUUUGAUCAUCGGUGAACUAAUUGUAGCUUUGAGAGAACUUACCUAACAAUUUUGCUAGCUAUUCUGGUUCAAAAGCAAGAGUCCAGCCCAUAUUGCAAAUGGAAAUGAAAUCGCCUGAGAAACUCAAUACAGUCGUUGUCUUGAAACAACCAGAUAGCAGCCGUUGGCAGAAGAUUAAUACAUGCAAUGGCUUCUAGUUGGCUAUUUCCCAAAUAAGCUUAUAAACCCAAGCUGCGGACUGAAGACUGGACUGGUUGGUUGGUUACCCCAUCUCCAACGAUGCAGUUAUUACUAGUUAGACCCAUAUUAUUGCUCGUUGGCAUUAAUUUCAUGUCAUUCCCCAUAUUAUUGAUGCCCAUGAUACCACCACCAAGCUGAUUUGACAUCAUCAUUUCAUGUAUGAUUUUUUGAACAGAACUCUGGGAAUCAUUUGCAUCUGUGUCACUGGAAAAUGUUGGCUGUUGCAUUGCAAUGUUCGGUGAACUAGCAGAAUUCAUGUGUGUUCCGGUCGGUAAGCCACCAAGUGAAGUCUGUGGAGGAUUGUUAGAUGAUGAUGCUUUUGGAGACUGGAAAGGAUAAGGAUUGAGUUGCGGUUGUAGUAAGGUACUCAAGGAACACUUGGAGAUGGCAUCUGAACACCAUUUCCUCCAUAAGGACAGUUUGCACUACUCUUCGGGUUUUUGCUGUCUCAAGUUCAUUGAGUUUUGAUGACGCAGCCCACAUAUAUAUGGCACUAGUAAAGGAAGUUGCAGGAGCCGAAUUCAGUGGAUUGUUUACAUUUGCCAUGCCAUUUCUGGAAGGAAGUUGCAAUUAUUAUGAAAAUUGUUUCAAUGUGGCCUAAUCAUAUUGAAACGUGAUGACUUUUGCAAAAUUGGUUGGAAUUAGGAACUACUUGUACCUUUUAGAAUUAGGUUAUAAUGAUGAAUUUGGAAAUUUGCAAUGAUUGUUUCCAUUUAGAUAGUGAAUUGAAUUAACACUUGAAAGGGGAAUGUACUACAAGCAUGGAAAAUAAUUCAUAAA
Coffea arabica (coffee) is the source of this 1348-nucleotide non-coding RNA. The record is from RefSeq and is a predicted model, not a curated record. Lineage: Eukaryota; Viridiplantae; Streptophyta; Magnoliopsida; Gentianales; Rubiaceae.